AGGAGUGGAGAGGUGCUUCUCUACUAAGGUGUAGCCAUGGAUGAUUGCAAUGUAUUGGAGAACGUGAGUGUAUAUUGAGAGGCCUGAGUACUGACUACUGUAUUGUGCGCGUCGUGCAGCAGGAGGAUGCAGUAUUCUCCCCCAACGUACUGUGUAUAGCUGUUGACGUUAGACUCCACUGAAGGCCUAGUAGCUGCCUGUCCUUAGCUGCUCGAACAGAUCUAAGAGAUACCCCAAGUAGUGCUCUGCAGAAUGUAUAGAACAUCCCUGUACACCAUGCAGGUGCUUAUGUGUGCAGCCGAGUGUGUGUGUGCAGCCGAGUGUGUGUGUGAGUUGUACACAUGUAUGUUUGUGUGUGUGUGUGCGCGCGGGUGUGCAUGUUUUAAUGUGUGUCAGUGGAGCCAGAUCAUUUGAGGAGGAUAUGCUGAGUGUAACGCCACUAAACCACACUACGCACUGUAGUACUGUAGUACUGUAUUACUGUAGUACUGUAGUGCUGUAUGCUGUAGCGCUGUAGUCACACAGUACUGAUAACCACUCAGACACAAACACACACUAAGCACUGCCCCCGCAGCCACGGCCACUGUGUAGUGUCCAGAUGUUUCAUAGAGUGUGUCGAACAAGGUACCUAACCUCAAAAGGGUCAGUCCAAAAUUCCAAAUACAUUACAGAUAAGGUAUCUAUAGUAGUCUCCCAUUCAUCAUGGAGUACUUUUUUUAUUUCCUGUUUGACUUAUGUUUGGUAGUAUACAUUGAUGUUUAAAGGUUUCAUUUUUAAUUAAAUUGUCAUGUCCUUCAUAAUUUGUUUCAAAUACUUUUGAAAUGUUUUCUUAGUUAUUUUUUCUGUUUAAUUGCAGGUACAGUGUGAAUGCAUGGAAAUAAGUGCUGUAAACCUUAAACUGUUUUAUGGUUAGUGUCUUUUUUUAAAUGUUGUCAUCCAAUUGUUAUAUCAAAAAGGACAAAUUGAGAUUUGUUUUUGUUGUUGUGGAGCAUUAAUGAUUAUUGUGGUUGUUUGACACAACGCAUAUGUUGUGAAUAUCCCCUAAUUUAAGGAGGUCUCUUAAGUGCCUUGUUUUUCUCAAACUAUUGGAAAUUCCAGUCAGCCAGUGCUUAUGGGGAAAUGUAGUUCAUUAGAGUGAGGGUCAAACUGUGAUCAAUUCACAAACAGGCUGGCCACUGUACUUAACACUAAGUGUGUUAGACUAAAUCAUGUUUCUCACCCAUAACUUUCUGCAUCUUAGCCCACCUAUUGAAAAGUGAUCUUGUGUCCAAUUGGAUUCCUUUGUGUGCCUUAUCUAUCGUUUCCGCAUGUUUCUCUAGCUACUCCUCAUCUUCCUUUUCCUUCUGUUUCUCCCUUCCCCCUUCUCUCCUUUUCCCUGCAGUGUGGGGUUUUGAUCACAUGAUUGUAGUCUUUUUUAUUCUGGUGAGGUAAAUUGUGACAGGUUGUCACCACUGUGACCCUCUACUGUGACCAAUAAAGUUG
Molecule: long non-coding RNA, 1482 nt
Organism: Osmerus eperlanus (European smelt)
Lineage: Eukaryota; Metazoa; Chordata; Actinopteri; Osmeriformes; Osmeridae
Exons: 2
Source: RefSeq, a predicted model, not a curated record